RNAcentral lists this transfer RNA (84 nucleotides) under Clostridiaceae bacterium. RNAcentral's name for it is "tRNA-Leu". It matches the Rfam family "tRNA". Rfam says of the family: Transfer RNA (tRNA) molecules are approximately 80 nucleotides in length. Their secondary structure includes four short double-helical elements and three loops (D, anti-codon, and T loops). Further hydrogen bonds mediate the characteristic L-shaped molecular structure. tRNAs have two regions of fundamental functional importance: the anti-codon, which is responsible for specific mRNA codon recognition, and the 3' end, to which the tRNAs corresponding amino acid is attached (by aminoacyl-tRNA synthetases). tRNAs cope with the degeneracy of the genetic code in two manners: having more than one tRNA (with a specific anti-codon) for a particular amino acid; and 'wobble' base-pairing, i.e. permitting non-standard base-pairing at the 3rd anti-codon position. The record is from RNAcentral. Lineage: Bacteria; Bacillati; Bacillota; Clostridia; Eubacteriales; Clostridiaceae.
GCGGGUGUGGCGGAAUUGGCAGACGCGCUAGACUUAGGAUCUAGUACCAAGUGUGUGGGGGUUCAAGUCCCUUCACCCGCACCA